RNAcentral lists this ribosomal RNA (270 nucleotides) under uncultured archaeon. RNAcentral's name for it is "partial 16S ribosomal RNA". It matches the Rfam family "Archaeal small subunit ribosomal RNA", at positions 477 to 747 of the family's 1478-position model. The record is from RNAcentral.
UAGCACCUCAAGUGGUCAGGAUGAUUAUUGGGCCUAAAGCAUCCGUAGCCGGCGCUGUAAGUUUUCGGUUAAAUCUGUACGCUCAACGUAUGGGCUGCCGGGAAUACUGCAAAGCUAGGGAGUGGGAGAGGUAGACGGUACUCGGUAGGAAGGGGUAAAAUCCUUUGAUCUAUUGAUGACCACCUGUGGCGAAGGCGGUCUACCAGAACACGUCCGACGGUGAGGGAUGAAAGCUGGGGGAGCAAACCGGAUUAGAUACCCGAGUAGUCC